CCUACGGGGGGCAGCAGUGGGGAAUAUUGCACAAUGGGGGAAACCCUGAUGCAGCGACGCCGCGUGAGUGAAGAAGUAUUUCGGUAUGUAAAGCUCUAUCAGCAGGGAAGAAAAUGACGGUACCUGACUAAGAAGCCCCGGCUAACUACGUGCCAGCAGCCGCGGUAAUACGUAGGGGGCAAGCGUUAUCCGGAUUUACUGGGUGUAAAGGGAGCGUAGACGGCAUGGCAAGUCAGAUGUGAAACCCAUGGGCUCAACCCAUGGCCUGCAUUUGAAACUGUAGUUCUUGAGUGAUGGAGAGGCAG
This 305-nucleotide ribosomal RNA is filed under the name uncultured bacterium. Its description in RNAcentral is "bacterial SSU rRNA". It matches the Rfam family "Bacterial small subunit ribosomal RNA", at positions 338 to 660 of the family's 1533-position model. The record is from RNAcentral.